GGGAAAGCGACCAUGGGGGCAUGUCGGCCCCCACCGCGCGCUUCAGAGACUCAGAUUACGGCCGCUGCGGCAGCUCCAGGACAAGAGACAGUCCGUCGGAGGAGGCAGCCGCCCGCCUUUUCCCGUUCGCUUCCUUUCGGCAGCGAGGAAAAGCUCCUCUGCAACGUGAGGCUGCAGCCAACACGGCUCCCCGCCGUCCCUCCACUCCACACAUGCUNGGUGGGAGCCGCCGCCGCCUGAGCCACUGCAGUGCUGCUUCCUCAUCCGACACCCACCGCCUUGUGUGCCUUCCCAGCAGCAGGGUGUGCGUGAGAAGCGGCCGGGAGGGGACGGCCGCGGGUCUCGGUGCACUUCGCCGGCUCCCCCCACCCGCACCACUCGCAAAUUACUUCACAGGGGAGGGGAGGGGAGGAAUCGGUGGUGCAGGAUUGUGUGCCCUUCCCAAACCUUUUCCCGCAAAAACCAAAGAGGGGAGGGAGGUUUACUCACCAACUGCCUCGCUCGCCUCCCCCUCACGAGGCGGCUGCUGCCGCUGCUGCCUGGCUUUCUUUACAAGGCAGGAGAGUAGUGGGCUCUCUCAGGGGCGUCAGAAGUGGGUCUCUCGGAAGGAAGCCUGCAAAGUUUGCAUUGGCGGUGGCCCGGCGAUGAUUGGUGACGGGGCUGGGGAGCCCCCCUUGGGGCGGGGAGCUAGAGAUUCCCCCCCCCUGUCUCCACGACCGUCUCUCUUUGCCUGCUGACUGACUGGCUGCUCGUCGUCAAUGCUCCGUUGUCCCGACGCAGGGGUGAACUUUCCACCGAGGCGGCGGGGGAGCCCCUUGUUUGCACUUGCAGCGCCCUCCCCGCAUUGGCACCGCACACCCAAGCGCGCGCGCGCUCGCUCUCUCGCUCAGGGCAGGGGGCUGCUGCUGCGACGACGGCGUCUCGCUCUCGCCUCCUCACUCGGACAAUUGCGCGUGUGUACGACUGACACUGACUCUGUGGACGCUUUAUGGGUAUACGCGUGUGCAGGCACCGCGCAGCCCUCGCUGCGUACAAGGCGAGGCGCGAGCAAGGCGAGCCCCAAGGAGCGGAGGUGCAGUCCACGCCCAAACUCGGCUCGCUCCCCGCCCACAUGUCACUCACAGGCGCCCGGAGCAGCUGAUAGGCGUUCGGCACAACCUUCGGGAGCCCCAUGGAGGCUCCCUGACUGCUCCGACCUCGUGGUGGGCUGCAGGGCCUGUCAAUCACGCCCAGAGCUGCCGAAGCCUGGCCCCGCCCGUCGUUCGCUGCUGCUGCUGCUGCUGCUGCUGCUGCUGCUGCUGCUGACGCCUCUUGGCCUGGGAGACUGGGAAGGAAGGAACGAUGAGAGAACGGCAAAGGAGGGGGGCGCUUUUCUGCCCAUAGACUUGUUAUCGUCUGAGUGUCGUCCCANCAUUUUUUCUGCUUUUCCUCAUCCCGUUGCUGAUCCUGCUUCCAUUGGAACCUGCUGCGUCUGCACUGUUGUCUUCUCUGAAUUGCUCUCCCGUGUACACGGCGGACGGAGGGAUGAUGCGAAAUUGCCGGGAUGGGAAAUGAGCAGCAGGGCGUGAGGAGGAAGCCACACCCGGCCGGUCGGGAGAGAGAGCGGGUCACACAAAGGAAUCAAGCUCGCUCGGGGGCCUUCCACACGGUUGAGUUCUCUAGAUUAAAACCCGCUAGAAAUAUUGCUUACUCCACCACUCUUCUGUUUACACCAACAUAGAUCCCAGCGGCUCAUUCUUACAGGCAAUUGAUUCUUUUUGGAGGGGGGGAGGGAAAGAGGAAUAUGGUUUAGUUUUUGCCCCUAUUUAACCACCACCAACAUUGUAGAAGAAUAUCCGUAAUUUUAAGAAUAUCCUGGAAUUCAGAAGUAUGAAUUGUAGAAGAAUAUCGUGGAAUUCAGAGUAUGAAAUCUGCAAGAAUUGUUAUGACACAAUUAACUCCUUGGAAAGUAAGUUCAUGUAAAUAUUCACCCCUUGUGUUACAUAAUACAGUACUAACAAAAUGCUCAUUGUCCUGGAUGCCAAGGAAGGCUAUGAAUAUUACAGACUGGACUCCUGGGUGGGGGCACAGCUAUACAGUGUGUGUGAGAGGAGUUUAGGACCAAUAAUGUGUACUAUUCCGUAGUCACCAAGUUUAAAAUGAGUGUAUUACUUGCAAGAUCCUAAGAAUUUCUGUGAAAUAUAGCCGUUCCUACAUCAUGCCAAGUGAUGCAUAUCCUGGUAGAACCUUAUAAAACUGACUGGCAACUAGACUUACUCAGGAUGAUUCCACAUUGGCCAAUAUANUGGACAAGCAAGCAUACUAGGAGGUCUCUCGUUAAACACGCCCAGAGCCUCCCUUAGAUUGCACCAGAGUGUGGAAGGAAAGCUUCUAGUACGCUUACUGGUCCAGAAUAUCAGCCAGUGCACAAUUGCCCUCAAACUGUGUGAUUUCACUGCAAUGAAAGAUAAUGUUGCCACUGUCUCCUUUUGCCUAUAUGGCUAAAGUCCAGGACCAAAUUAACCAGGAGGCAAACUAUUACCCGUUUUCACUCCUUUCGUAGCAUUGAAAGCCUUGAAAAAGUGGAAAGUUCUGUUUCUUGGCCCUACUAGAAUCAUGACAGGAUACAGAAAUUCGCUUUUUGUCCAAUAAAUAGCCAAGACACUUGACA
Salvator merianae (Argentine black and white tegu) is the source of this 2650-nucleotide long non-coding RNA. NCBI's taxonomy places the organism in Eukaryota, Metazoa, Chordata, Lepidosauria, Squamata, Teiidae. The record is from Ensembl.